RNAcentral lists this microRNA (22 nucleotides) under Arabidopsis lyrata. Its description in RNAcentral is "aly-miR839-3p". Its record names the gene aly-miR839-3p. Lineage: Eukaryota; Viridiplantae; Streptophyta; Magnoliopsida; Brassicales; Brassicaceae. The record is from miRBase by way of RNAcentral.
GAACGCAUGAGAGGUUGGUGAA